UGAGUAACACGUGGGUGAUCUGCCCUGCACUUUGGGAUAAGCCUGGGAAACUGGGUCUAAUACCGAAUAGGACCGCGCUCUUCAUGGGGUGUGGUGGAAAGCUUUUGCGGUGUGGGAUGGGCCCGCGGCCUAUCAGCUUGUUGGUGGGGUAAUGGCCUACCAAGGCGACGACGGGUAGCCGGCCUGAGAGGGUGACCGGCCACACUGGGACUGAGAUACGGCCCAGACUCCUACGGGAGGCAGCAGUGGGGAAUAUUGCACAAUGGGCGCAAGCCUGAUGCAGCGACGCCGCGUGAGGGAUGACGGCCUUCGGGUUGUAAACCUCUUUCAAUAGGGACGAAGCGCAAGUGACGGUACCUAUAGAAGAAGGACCGGCCAACUACGUGCCAGCAGCCGCGGUAAUACGUAGGGUCCGAGCGUUGUCCGGAAUUACUGGGCGUAAAGAGCUCGUAGGUGGUUUGUCGCGUUGUUCGUGAAAACUCACAGCUUAACUGUGGGCGUGCGGGCGAUACGGGCAGACUAGAGUACUGCAGGGGAGACUGGAAUUCCUGGUGUAGCGGUGGAAUGCGCAGAUAUCAGGAGGAACACCGGUGGCGAAGGCGGGUCUCUGGGCAGUAACUGACGCUGAGGAGCGAAAGCGUGGGGAGCGAACAGGAUUAGAUACCCUGGUAGUCCACGCCGUAAACGGUGGGUACUAGGUGUGGGUUUCCUUCCUUGGGAUCCGUGCCGUAGCUAACGCAUUAAGUACCCCCGCCUGGGGGAGUACGGCCGCAAGGCUAAAACUCAAAAGGAAUUGACGGGGGGCCCGCACAA
RNAcentral lists this ribosomal RNA (813 nucleotides) under Mycobacterium sp. RNAcentral describes it as "bacterial SSU rRNA". It matches the Rfam family "Bacterial small subunit ribosomal RNA", at positions 107 to 928 of the family's 1533-position model. The record is from RNAcentral. Lineage: Bacteria; Bacillati; Actinomycetota; Actinomycetes; Mycobacteriales; Mycobacteriaceae.